UACAGAGGUGGCAAGCGUUGUUCGGAAUUACUGGGCGUAAAGGGCGCGUAGGCGGCCAUCUAAGUCAGACGUGAAAUCCCCCGGCUUAACCUGGGAACUGCGUCUGAUACUGGAAGGCUUGAGUAUGGGAGAGGGAUGUAGAAUUCCAGGUGUAGCGGUGAAAUGCGUAGAUAUCUGGAGGAAUACCGGUGGCGAAGGCGGCAUUCUGGACCGGCAUUGACGCUGAGGCGCGAAGGCCAGGGGAGCAAACGGG
Molecule: ribosomal RNA, 253 nt
Filed under: uncultured bacterium
Lineage: Bacteria
Description: partial 16S ribosomal RNA
Rfam family: Bacterial small subunit ribosomal RNA
Source: RNAcentral